Molecule: ribosomal RNA, 486 nt
Filed under: uncultured bacterium
Lineage: Bacteria
Description: partial 16S ribosomal RNA
Rfam family: Bacterial small subunit ribosomal RNA
Source: RNAcentral
AUUGAACGCUGGCGGCAUGCCUUACACAUGCAAGUCGAACGGCAGCACGGGUGCUUGCACCUGGUGGCGAGUGGCGAACGGGUGAGUAAUACAUCGGAACAUGUCCUGUAGUGGGGGAUAGCCCGGCGAAAGCCGGAUUAAUACCGCAUACGAUCUACGGAUGAAAGCGGGGGACCUUCGGGCCUCGCGCUAUAGGGUUGGCCGAUGGCUGAUUAGCUAGUUGGUGGGGUAAAGGCCUACCAAGGCGACGAUCAGUAGCUGGUCUGAGAGGACGACCAGCCACACUGGGACUGAGACACGGCCCAGACUCCUACGGGAGGCAGCAGUGGGGAAUUUUGGACAAUGGGCGAAAGCCUGAUCCAGCAAUGCCACGUGUGUGAAGAAGGCCUUCGGGUUGUAAAGCACUUUUGUCCGGAAAGAAAUCCUUGGCCCUAAUACGGUCGGGGGAUGACGGUACCGGAAGAAUAAGCACCGGCUAACUACGUG